GCCGGAGUGGCGAAACGGGCAGACGCAGGGGACUUAAAAUCCCCCGGAGCAAUCCAUCCGGGUUCGAAUCCCGGCUCCGGCA
This 82-nucleotide transfer RNA is filed under the name bacterium. Its description in RNAcentral is "tRNA-Leu". It matches the Rfam family "tRNA". From Rfam's summary of the family: Transfer RNA (tRNA) molecules are approximately 80 nucleotides in length. Their secondary structure includes four short double-helical elements and three loops (D, anti-codon, and T loops). The record is from RNAcentral. RNAcentral also lists the same sequence under 2 other names.